This is a non-coding RNA of Caenorhabditis japonica, 39 nucleotides long. NCBI's taxonomy places the organism in Eukaryota, Metazoa, Nematoda, Chromadorea, Rhabditida, Rhabditidae. The record is from Rfam.
CGCUAUUAAGCGCCACAAAUAAUAUAAAAAUAAAAGUAU